Molecule: transfer RNA, 72 nt
Filed under: Lycorma delicatula (spotted lanternfly)
Lineage: Eukaryota; Metazoa; Arthropoda; Insecta; Hemiptera; Fulgoridae
Description: tRNA-Arg
Source: RNAcentral
CUUAAGUGGAGUAAAGAAGUAAAAUUACAAUUAAUUUCGACUUAAUUUUAAGGAUAAUCCUCAUACUGAAUU